GACUGAUAAGUUAGCUUUUAUUAUGAGAGAUUAAAUUUUAGUUUAAUUAGUUUUAGAAUUAGUGGUUUAAUAUUAAUUUUUUUUUAUACAUGUUAUACUUAUAAAUUAUUCAUUUCUUUAGACGAGGAUUAGAUACCCUCUUAUAGGGAUGGUAAUUAUUAGUUAUUUGUUUCUCAGUGAUAAAACUGAAAGAAAUUGGCAGUUAAUUAUAUUUUUCUAGGGGAUUGUGUAGUUUAAUUAGAUGAUCCACUUAUAAUAUUACCUGUUUUUUGUUGGUGUAUAUCCGGUUNAUAAACAAAAAAUAAUUAUUUUUUGUUUAAAAUAUUUUUUUAUCCAGGUCAAUAUGCUGCUUAUAGUUAGGUAUGUUUAUGCAAUACAAUUUAAAUUAUAAUAAUGAAAAAGAUAUUAUUUANGACUUAGUAGUAAUAGAAAAUAAUAAUGUUUUUGUGAAUGGUUGAUUUGAUU
This 465-nucleotide ribosomal RNA is filed under the name Fornixtrema elizabethae. RNAcentral's name for it is "partial 12S ribosomal RNA". Lineage: Eukaryota; Metazoa; Platyhelminthes; Monogenea; Polystomatidea; Polystomatidae. The record is from RNAcentral.